Molecule: ribosomal RNA, 505 nt
Filed under: uncultured bacterium
Lineage: Bacteria
Description: partial 16S ribosomal RNA
Rfam family: Bacterial small subunit ribosomal RNA
Source: RNAcentral
GACGAACGCUGGCGGCGUGCCUAAUACAUGCAAGUAGAACGCACAGUUUAUACCGUAGCUUGCUACACCAUAGACUGUGAGUUGCGAACGGGUGAGUAACGCGUAGGUAACCUGCCUGGUAGCGGGGGAUAACUAUUGGAAACGAUAGCUAAUACCGCAUAAUAUUAAUUAUUGCAUGAUAAUUAAUUGAAAGGUGCAAUUGCACCGCUACCAGAUGGACCUGCGUUGUAUUAGCUAGUAGGUGAGGUAACGGCUCACCUAGGCGACGAUACAUAGCCGACCUGAGAGGGUGAUCGGCCACACUGGGACUGAGACACGGCCCAGACUCCUACGGGAGGCAGCAGUAGGGAAUCUUCGGCAAUGGACGAAAGUCUGACCGAGCAACGCCGCGUGAGUGAAGAAGGUUUUCGGAUCGUAAAGCUCUGUUGUAAGAGAAGAACGGGUGUGAGAGUGGAAAGUUCACACUGUGACGGUAUCUUACCAGAAAGGGACGGCUAACUACGUG